UGGGGGAUAUUGCACAAUGGGCGAAAGCCUGAUGCAGCGACGCCGCGUGGGGGAUGAAGGCCUUCGGGUUGUAAACUUCUUUUGCUCUGAACAAGGCAUGCUAAUGGGUGUGUUGAGUGUAGGGGUUGAUUAGCGCCGGCUAACUACGUGCCAGCAGCCGCGGUAAUACGCUGGGCGCGAGCGUUGUCCGGAAUUAUUGGGCGUAGAGGGCUUGUAGGUGGCUGGUUGCGUCUGUCGUGAAAGCUAAUGGCUUAACUGUGGGUUUGCGGUGGGUACGGGCUGGCUUGAGUGCAGUAGGGGAGGCUGGAAUUCCUGGUGUAGCGGUGGAAUGCGCAGAUAUCAGGAGGAAUACCGGUGGCGAAGGCGGGUCUCUGGGCUGUUACUGACACUGAGGAGCGAAAGCAUGGGGAGCGAACAGG
RNAcentral lists this ribosomal RNA (419 nucleotides) under bacterium. RNAcentral describes it as "partial 16S ribosomal RNA". It matches the Rfam family "Bacterial small subunit ribosomal RNA", at positions 355 to 776 of the family's 1533-position model. The record is from RNAcentral.